UAAGAUGAGAAGACCCUAUGGAGCUUUAAUGCAUUAAUGCAAAUAAAAACUCAAACAAGCCAACAGGUCCUAGCCUAUUAUCUCUGCCUUAAAAAUUUUGGUUAGGGUGACCUUGGAGCAUAAUUCAACCUCCGAACAAUCUAAACUAAGACCACACUAGUCUAAGCAAGUUAAUACACAUUGACCCAAUAAUUUGAUCAAUGGAAUAAGUAACACUAGGGAUAACAACACAAUCCUAUUCUAGAGUCCAUACUGACCAUAAAGUUUACAACCUCGAUGUUGGAUCAGGACAUCCUAAUGGUGUAUCCACUAAUAAGGGUUCGUUUGUUCAGUGAUCAAAGUCCUACGUGAUCUGAGUUCAGACAGGAGUAAUCCAGGUUGGUUUCUACCUA
Chlorocebus sabaeus (green monkey) is the source of this 392-nucleotide ribosomal RNA. It matches the Rfam family "Bacterial large subunit ribosomal RNA", at positions 2076 to 2644 of the family's 2925-position model. The record is from Rfam. NCBI's taxonomy places the organism in Eukaryota, Metazoa, Chordata, Mammalia, Primates, Cercopithecidae.